Molecule: non-coding RNA, 31 nt
Filed under: Mus musculus (house mouse)
Lineage: Eukaryota; Metazoa; Chordata; Mammalia; Rodentia; Muridae
Source: RNAcentral
UAGACGUGACUACCACUGCAGGGAAGCAGGC